CAUUCCUACGGGACGCAGCAGUGGGGGAUAUUGCACAAUGGGGGCAACCCUGAUGCAGCGACGCCGCGUGAGCGAUGGAGUACUUCGGUAUGUAAAGCUCUGUCAGCAGGGAAGAGAAUGACGGUACCUGACCAAGAAGCCCCGGCUAAAUACGUGCCAGCAGCCGCGGUAAUACGUAUGGGGCAAGCGUUAUCCGGAUUUACUGGGUGUAAAGGGAGCGUAGACGGCGAUGCAAGUCUGAAGUGAAAGGCGGGGGCCCAACCCCCGGACUGCUUUGGAAACUGUAUAGCUGGAGUGCAGGAGAG
RNAcentral lists this ribosomal RNA (305 nucleotides) under uncultured bacterium. Its description in RNAcentral is "bacterial SSU rRNA". It matches the Rfam family "Bacterial small subunit ribosomal RNA", at positions 334 to 656 of the family's 1533-position model. The record is from RNAcentral.